Molecule: ribosomal RNA, 1177 nt
Filed under: uncultured bacterium
Lineage: Bacteria
Description: bacterial SSU rRNA
Rfam family: Bacterial small subunit ribosomal RNA
Source: RNAcentral
CGACGUAUGCCUAUCCCGCAUCGGCCUGAGGGGAUUGGGACGCAAGGCUCAUGCUUAGAGCGGCCGAGUUGGAUAGCUAGUUGGUGGGUUAAGGUCACCUAUGGCGACGAUCAGUAGCUGCUGAGAGACGAUCAGCCCACUGGACUGAGACACGUCCAGACUCUACGGAGCAGCAGUGGGGAUUUGACAUGGCGAAGCCUGAUCCAGCAUGCGCGUGUGUGAGAGCUUCGGGUUGUAAAGCACUUUGUCCGGAAAGAAAUGGCUCUGGUUAAUACCUGGGGUCGAUGACGUACCGGAAGAUAAGGACCGGCUAACUACGUGCCAGCAGCGCGGUAAUACGUAGGGUCAAGCGUUAAUCGGAAUUACUGGGCGUAAAGCGUGCGCAGGCGGGUUGUGCAAGACCGAUGUGAAAUCCCCGAGCUUAACUUGGGAAUUGCAUUGGUGACUGCACGGCUAGAGUGUGUCAGAGGGGGGUAGAAUUCCACGUGUAGCAGUGAAAUGCGUAGAGAUGUGGAGGAAUACCGAUGGCGAAGGCAGCCCCCUGGGAUAACACUGACGCUCAUGCACGAAAGCGUGGGGAGCAAACAGGAUUAGAUACCCUGGUAGUCCACGCCCUAAACGAUGUCAACUAGUUGUUGGGGAUUCAUUUCCUUAGUAACGUAGCUAACGCGUGAAGUUGACCGCCUGGGGAGUACGGUCGCAAGAUUAAAACUCAAAGGAAUUGACGGGGACCCGCACAAGCGGUGGAUGAUGUGGAUUAAUUCGAUGCAACGCGAAAAACCUUACCUACCCUUGACAUGCCACUAACGAAGCAGAGAUGCAUUAGGUGCUCGAAAGAGAAAGUGGACACAGGUGCUGCAUGGCUGUCGUCAGCUCGUGUCGUGAGAUGUUGGGUUAAGUCCCGCAACGAGCGCAACCCUUGUCUCUAGUUGCUACGAAAGGGCACUCUAGAGAGACUGCCGGUGACAAACCGGAGGAAGGUGGGGAUGACGUCAAGUCCUCAUGGCCCUUAUGGGUAGGGCUUCACACGUCUUACAAUGGUGCAUACAGAGGGUUGCCAAGCCGCGAGGUGGAGCUAAUCCCAGAAAAUGCAUCGUAGUCCGGAUCGUAGUCUGCAACUCUGACUACGUGAAGCUGGAAUCGCUAGUAAUCGCGGAUCAGCAUGACGCUGCAAUCG